AGAGCUGUAACUAAGUUGGUAGAAUGCUUGCCUAGCAUGCAUGAAGCCCUGGGUUCCAUCCCCAGCAACACUU
This 73-nucleotide transfer RNA is filed under the name Neotoma lepida (desert woodrat). It matches the Rfam family "tRNA". From Rfam's summary of the family: Transfer RNA (tRNA) molecules are approximately 80 nucleotides in length. The record is from Rfam by way of RNAcentral. Lineage: Eukaryota; Metazoa; Chordata; Mammalia; Rodentia; Cricetidae.